CGGGUCGGACAGCCGCGGACGCACGCCGAAAGGCGGCGGAUGAGGAAAGUCCGGGCUCCGCAGGGCAAGGAUAACGGGUAACGCCCGCCGAGAGUGAUCUCAGGACAAGUGCAACAGAGAGAUACCGCCCCGCCGAUUCCCGUGAAUCGACGAGGUAAGGGUGAAAAGGUGGGGUAAGAGCCCACCCGGCUUAUGGAGACAUAAGUUUUACGAUGUAAACUCUAUCCGGAGCAACGCCGUGGAGGAACAGAUGGUCUGCCCGACCGUUCCGAGGAGGCGGCUGGAUCCCGGGAGCAAUCCCGGGACUAGAUAGAUGGCUGUCAAGACAGAACCCGGCUUACAGACCCG
RNAcentral lists this RNase P RNA (348 nucleotides) under uncultured Faecousia sp. RNAcentral's name for it is "Bacterial RNase P class A". It matches the Rfam family "Bacterial RNase P class A". From Rfam's summary of the family: Ribonuclease P (RNase P) is a ubiquitous endoribonuclease, found in archaea, bacteria and eukarya as well as chloroplasts and mitochondria. Its best characterised activity is the generation of mature 5'-ends of tRNAs by cleaving the 5'-leader elements of precursor-tRNAs. The record is from RNAcentral. Lineage: Bacteria; Bacillati; Bacillota; Clostridia; Eubacteriales; Oscillospiraceae.